ACAUCUUAGUUUAAUUUUAUUUUUGAAUAUGUAUGAAUAUCAUGAACUUUGCAAAUUUCUUAAAAAAAAUUUGCGUAUCGACAGGCCGUUACCAUUAAGUUACGGCCAUUACAGAUCCAAUUCCGUUACUCGCGACCGCGAUUUAAAAUUAUAGUUCCUAAGCAGACCUUGAAUCGGAACCAAAACUGCACCAACCCUAUUCAAACUGAAACUGCCAUAAACCCAACCUGACGCCAGAACCACCAGGACCAGAAUUGCAAGGAACCAACCCUAG
Molecule: unclassified non-coding RNA, 274 nt
Filed under: Hevea brasiliensis (rubber tree)
Lineage: Eukaryota; Viridiplantae; Streptophyta; Magnoliopsida; Malpighiales; Euphorbiaceae
Source: RNAcentral